RNAcentral lists this transfer RNA (76 nucleotides) under Ponticaulis sp. Its description in RNAcentral is "tRNA-OTHER". It matches the Rfam family "tRNA". Rfam says of the family: Transfer RNA (tRNA) molecules are approximately 80 nucleotides in length. Their secondary structure includes four short double-helical elements and three loops (D, anti-codon, and T loops). The record is from RNAcentral. Lineage: Bacteria; Pseudomonadati; Pseudomonadota; Alphaproteobacteria; Hyphomonadales; Hyphomonadaceae.
AGCUCUGUGGCGAAAUGGCAACGCGGUGGACCUGCAAGUCCGCUAUAUUCAGGUUCGACUCCUGACGGAGCUUCCA